Molecule: ribosomal RNA, 543 nt
Filed under: uncultured archaeon
Lineage: Archaea
Description: bacterial SSU rRNA
Rfam family: Archaeal small subunit ribosomal RNA
Source: RNAcentral
CGGGGUGCACCAGGCGCGAAAACUUUACAAUGCUGGCAACAGCGAUAAGGGGACCUCGAGUGCCAGGAUACAAUCUUGGCUGUCGCGAUGCCUAAAAAGCAUUGCAUAGCAAGGGCCGGGCAAGACCGGUGCCAGCCGCCGCGGUAACACCGGCGGCUCGAGUGGUAACCGCUAUUAUUGGGUCUAAAGGGUCUGUAGCCGGCCGGAUAAGUCUUUUGGGAAAUCCAGCUGCUCAACAGUUGGGCUUUCAGAAGAUACUGUUCGGCUCGAGACCGGGAGAGGUGAGAGGUACUUCAGGGGUAGGGGUGAAAUCUUGUAAUCCUUGAAGGACCACCAGUGGCGAAGGCGUCUCACCAGAACGGAUCUGACGGCAAGGGACGAAAGCUAGGGGCACGAACCGGAUUAGAUACCCGGGUAGUCCUAGCCGUAAACGAUACUCGCUAGGUGUCAGCCACGGUGCGACCGUGGUUGGUGCCGUAGGGAAGCCGUGAAGCGAGCCACCUGGGAAGUACGGCCGCAAGGCUGAAACUUAAAGGAAUUGGC